AAUUAGAGAUGUGCUUACUGCACUUUUCUUAUCUACACACGUGUUUUUGUUUUAUUCUUAAAACUUGCUUUGGCAGUGGCUGCUUAAUUGCUCUGCUGCCAGAGGAUAAACUCAACCUAAAUUUUUUAUUUUAAACUAGUCAACUGAUUAUAUUUAUUAAUAGUCAAAACUUUCAACAACGGAUCUCUUGGUUCUCGCAUCGAUGAAGAACGCAGCGAAAUGCGAUAAGUAAUAUGAAUUGCAGAUAUUCGUGAAUCAUCGAAUCUUUGAACGCACAUUGCGCCCUCUGGUAUUCCGGAGGGCAUGCCUGUUUGAGCGUCAUUUCUCCCUCAAACCCCCGGGUUUGGUGAUGAGCAAUACGCCAGGUUUGCUUGAAAGUUAGGAGGAGUAUUUAUAACAAUGUAUUAGGUCUAACCACUCCAUUGUGCUUAAUAAAAGCUCCAAUCUAUAUUUCAAACUUCGACCUCAAAUCAGGUAGGAUUACCCGCUGAACUUAAGCAUAUCAAAAGGCGGGAGGAAGAAAUUUGGGGGUUG
RNAcentral lists this ribosomal RNA (534 nucleotides) under Lodderomyces elongisporus. RNAcentral describes it as "eukaryotic LSU rRNA". The stretch from base 168 to 321 matches the Rfam family "5.8S ribosomal RNA". The record is from RNAcentral. Lineage: Eukaryota; Fungi; Ascomycota; Pichiomycetes; Serinales; Debaryomycetaceae.